Molecule: ribosomal RNA, 437 nt
Filed under: Dolurgus pumilus
Lineage: Eukaryota; Metazoa; Arthropoda; Insecta; Coleoptera; Curculionidae
Description: partial 16S ribosomal RNA
Source: RNAcentral
UCGCAAUAUAUCCCUUCGAUUUGAACUCUAAGAAAUAAUAACGCUGUUAUCCCUAAGGUAACUUUAUCUUUAAAUCUAAAAUAGGAUCAAAAACUAACUAAUUAGUUUUAAAAUUAAAAAAAAGUUUAUUAAAUUUUUCAAUCACCCCAACUAAUUAAAUAAAUAAGAUAAAAAAAAUAAUAUACCAAUAAAUUUAACUUAAUUAUUUAUAAAGCUCUAUAGGGUCUUCUCGUCUUCAAUAAAUAUUUAAGCUUUUUCACUUAAAAAUAAAAUUCUAUAUAAAUUUAUAAUGAGACAGAAAUUUUCUCAUCCAACCCUUCAUACAAGCCCCUAAUUAAGAAACUAAUGAUUAUGCUACCUUUGCACAGUCAAAAUACUGCGGCUAUUUAAAUCACUUUCAUUGAGCAGGUUAGACCUUAAAUCAUUAUCAAAAAGAC